This 419-nucleotide long non-coding RNA is filed under the name Gallus gallus (chicken). Its description in RNAcentral is "long non-coding RNA NONGGAT001078". Lineage: Eukaryota; Metazoa; Chordata; Aves; Galliformes; Phasianidae. The record is from RNAcentral.
CUUGGAAAUUCUCAAUAAACACAUACCCUGUUUUACCUAAAAUGAAAUGAAGCUUGUUUGUUUUGUGCAUUAUUUUAUGGAAUGUAUGCUGGCUGAUACCUUUAAUGUCUAAGCUGAUACGGGAGCUACUAAUAGGGGAAAGAAAAAAAAGGAACAUCUUAUGUAUCUCUUUUUCAGGAUCAAUGUUCAAGAAGGAUUUACGUGCAGGGCAUUUAUAUAGGGAAUAUAUUUAAGUCUGAAGGGAAAGGAAGGAAAACAAACUAGCUGUUAGACCACCAGAACUCUGGAUCACAGAAUCACAGAAUUGUAGGGGUUGGAAGGGACCUCUGGGGAUCAUCGAGUGCAAACCCCCUGCAAAGCAGCCCCCUACAGUAGGCUGCACAGUUUCAGGCCACUGCUCCUUGUCCUAUCGCUACACG